UAGUUUAAUAAAAACAAUGGUCUUGUAAGCCAAAACUGAGAUAGUUUUCUCCCAAAACU
Molecule: transfer RNA, 59 nt
Filed under: Mnais tenuis
Lineage: Eukaryota; Metazoa; Arthropoda; Insecta; Odonata; Calopterygidae
Description: tRNA-Thr
Source: RNAcentral